UAGGGAAUCUUCCACAAUGGGCGCAAGCCUGAUGGAGCAACGCCGCGUGAGUGAAGAAGGUCUUCGGAUCGUAAAACUCUGUUGUUAGAGAAGAACAUGCAGGAGAGUAACUGUUCAUUCGAUGACGGUAUCUAACCAGCAAGUCACGGCUAACUACGUACCAG
Molecule: ribosomal RNA, 164 nt
Filed under: uncultured bacterium
Lineage: Bacteria
Description: partial 16S rRNA
Rfam family: Bacterial small subunit ribosomal RNA
Source: RNAcentral